UCUCUUCCUUUCUCUGCGUCGACCACCACCUCCAUUUCCCUAUCCGCGACGAUUCGACCCACCGGCCGAUGCCACCUCCAUUUUCCCCUCCCUCUGCCGGCGAUUCGACUCACCGGCCGCGGCCGCGAUCUGCCACCUUUCGCCGCCUCCUAGAGAUCUGCUAUUCCACCUUCUUCGAUGCCACCUCCAUUUUCCCCUCCCCCCUCCGGCGAUUCGACUCACCGGCCGCAUUCCACCGCGAUUCGCAACGAUGAGAUCUGCCCCUUCCACAGUUCCACCUUCUGUUUCGAGGUCCGGCGAAGGGCGCGCCCGCUAGAGAUCUGCUCUUCCACCUUCUCCGAUGCCACCUCCAUUUUCCCCUCCCUCCCCCGGCGAUUCGACUCACCGGCCGCAUUCCACCGCGAUUCGCAGCGAUGAGAUCUGCCCCUUCCACAGUUCUACCUUCUGAUUCGAGGUCCGGCGAAGGCCGCCUCUUUGAGAUUUCCGGCGCGAAUCGCUGCGCCCCUAGAUCCCCAAAUCCUCACCGCCUCUUUGCGAUUUUCGGCGACCACGGCAGCCAUGGCCGCCGAUCUGCCCCUCCCACCACCAGAAAACCAGAAAUCGAUCUGCCACCUCCCUUCCCCCUAUGAUUUUUGGUUCUAGGUGCCUGGUCCAGAACCGCCGCUCGCCAGCCGCUGUGUUGCAGUCGCCCACUCCUAUUCUCACUUCAACUGCUGAUAGGAUUGAAAAACAUCUUUGCCAGGCAACUUCCUAAUAUGCCGAGAGAAUACAUUGUACGUUUCCUAAUGGACAGGCGUGCCCCUGGUUUUGAACCUUUUCUGUAAAGCUUAUGUGCAAUUAUUCAAUUAGCUUCUUUUUAUGUUGCUGGGUUUUGGUUAUUUAUUCCAUUAGCGUAAGAACAAAGCUGUGUUGGUUAAUGUUUAGUUGGUUAUCUGCUUCUAUCUCACAAUAAAUGAGAACGUAUCAACAGUAGUUGGCAGUUAGAGAUGAUUGAAUUUUUUUUGCAUUAGAUUGAUUUAUCAAUCUAUUGGUUGGCAUCUAUGUUUAUAAAAGUUUUGAGUUAUACAAUUAAUUCAUGUAGACUAAAUUAUACUACUAAUGAUUGUUUUUCUUUGAUGCAGAAAGACAACUUUGCUAGGGUGAUUUUAACAUUCUCUAGAAUCGCAAAUGAGAAUUUUUUAAUUUAAGCUGUGUUUUUUUCUUUUGCUUUUUAAUGUAAUUGAUUAUUACUUUGAUUCCUCAAUUAUUCUAUUAUUCAAUUAAUAUUUAUCGCUA
Molecule: RNA transcript, 1275 nt
Organism: Salvia miltiorrhiza (redroot sage)
Lineage: Eukaryota; Viridiplantae; Streptophyta; Magnoliopsida; Lamiales; Lamiaceae
Exons: 3
Source: RefSeq, a predicted model, not a curated record